AGUGGACGCUGGCGGUAGGCCUAACACAUGCAAGUCGAACGGCAGCACAGUAAGAGCUUGCCCUUACGGGUGGCGAGUGGCGGACGGGUGAGGAAUACAUCGGAAUCUACUUUUUCGUGGGGGAUAACGUAGGGAAACUUACGCUAAUACCGCAUACGACCUACGGGUGAAAGCAGGGGAUCUUCGGACCUUGCGCGAUUGAAUGAGCCGAUGUCGGAUUAGCUAGUUGGCGGGGUAAAGGCCCACCAAGGCGACGAUCCGUAGCUGGUCUGAGAGGAUGAUCAGCCACACUGGAACUGAGACACGGUCCAGACUCCUACGGGAGGCAGCAGUGGGGAAUAUUGGACAAUGGGCGCAAGCCUGAUCCAGCCAUACCGCGUGGGUGAAGAAGGCCUUCGGGUUGUAAAGCCCUUUUGUUGGGAAAGAAAAGCAGCAGGUUAAUACCCCGCUGUUCUGACGGUACCAAAAGAAUAAGCACCGGCUAACUUCGUG
RNAcentral lists this ribosomal RNA (492 nucleotides) under uncultured bacterium. Its description in RNAcentral is "partial 16S ribosomal RNA". It matches the Rfam family "Bacterial small subunit ribosomal RNA", at positions 29 to 507 of the family's 1533-position model. The record is from RNAcentral.